RNAcentral lists this microRNA (22 nucleotides) under Capitella teleta. RNAcentral's name for it is "Cte-Mir-317_5p* (star (passenger))". Lineage: Eukaryota; Metazoa; Annelida; Polychaeta; Capitellidae. The record is from RNAcentral.
AGAGAUCACUGCGGUGCUCACA